UACGUAGGGGGCUAGCGUUGUCCGGAAUCAUUGGGCGUAAAGAGCGUGUAGGCGGCCCGGUAAGUCCGUUGUGAAAGUCCAGGGCUCAACCCUGGAAUGCCGAUGGAUACUGCGGAGCUAGAGUCCGGAAGGGGCGAGUGGAAUUCCUGGUGUAGCGGUGAAAUGCGCAGAUAUCAGGAGGAACACCUAUGGCGAAGGCAGCUCGCUGGGACGGUACUGACGCUGAGGCGCGAAAGCGUGGGGAGCGAACAGG
This 253-nucleotide ribosomal RNA is filed under the name uncultured bacterium. RNAcentral describes it as "partial 16S ribosomal RNA". It matches the Rfam family "Bacterial small subunit ribosomal RNA", at positions 524 to 776 of the family's 1533-position model. The record is from RNAcentral.